Molecule: ribosomal RNA, 214 nt
Filed under: uncultured Lactobacillus sp.
Lineage: Bacteria; Bacillati; Bacillota; Bacilli; Lactobacillales; Lactobacillaceae
Description: partial 16S ribosomal RNA
Rfam family: Bacterial small subunit ribosomal RNA
Source: RNAcentral
CCUGGAAACAGAUGCUAAUACCGGAUAACAANAGAUGAUGCCUAUCAACUGUUUAAAAGAUGGUUCUGCUAUCACUCUUGGAUGGACCUGCGGUGCAUUAGCUAGUUGGUAGGGUAACGGCCUACCAAGGCGAUGAUUUGCAUAGCCGAGUUGAGAGACUGAUCGGCCACAUUGGGACUGAGACACGGCCCAAACUCCUACGGGAGGCAGCAGG